AUUGAACGCUGGCGGCAUGCUUUACACAUGCAAGUCGAACGGCAGCGCGGGCUUCGGCCUGGCGGCGAGUGGCGAACGGGUGAGUAAUACAUCGGAACGUGCCCAGUAGUGGGGGAUAGCUCGGCGAAAGCCGGAUUAAUACCGCAUACGACCUGAGGGUGAAAGCGGGGGAUCUUCGGACCUCGCGCUAUUGGAGCGGCCGAUGGCAGAUUAGCUAGUUGGUGGGGUAAAGGCCUACCAAGGCGACGAUCUGUAGCUGGUCUGAGAGGACGACCAGCCACACUGGGACUGAGACACGGCCCAGACUCCUACGGGAGGCAGCAGCGGGGAAUUUUGGACAAUGGGGGAAAGCCUGAUCCAGCAAUGCCGCGUGUGUGAUGAAGGCCUUCGGGUUGUAAAGCACUUUUGGCGGGAACGAAAAGGACUGUGCCAAUACCACGGUUCGAUGACGGUACCCGCAGAAUAAGCACCGGCUAACUACGUG
RNAcentral lists this ribosomal RNA (484 nucleotides) under uncultured bacterium. Its description in RNAcentral is "partial 16S ribosomal RNA". It matches the Rfam family "Bacterial small subunit ribosomal RNA", at positions 29 to 507 of the family's 1533-position model. The record is from RNAcentral.